UGCUCUUAGCGACUGGAGGAAAAAAGGUUUAAUCCACGCAUAUGGAAAGGCUUUUUCACAGUAAAAGCUGUGAAAAUGUGGAAUAGGCUACCUCAGG
Molecule: long non-coding RNA, 97 nt
Organism: Nanorana parkeri
Lineage: Eukaryota; Metazoa; Chordata; Amphibia; Anura; Dicroglossidae
Exons: 3
Source: RefSeq, a predicted model, not a curated record